This 495-nucleotide ribosomal RNA is filed under the name uncultured bacterium. RNAcentral describes it as "partial 16S ribosomal RNA". It matches the Rfam family "Bacterial small subunit ribosomal RNA", at positions 28 to 507 of the family's 1533-position model. The record is from RNAcentral.
GACGAACGCUGGCGGCGUGCCUAAUACAUGCAAGUAGAACGCUGAAGGAGGAGCUUGCUUCUCUGGAUGAGUUGCGAACGGGUGAGUAACGCGUAGGUAACCUGCCUGGUAGCGGGGGAUAACUAUUGGAAACGAUAGCUAAUACCGCAUAAGAGUAGAUGUUGCAUGACAUUUACUUAAAAGGUGCAAUUGCAUCACUACCAGAUGGACCUGCGUUGUAUUAGCUAGUUGGUGAGGUAACGGCUCACCAAGGCAACGAUACAUAGCCGACCUGAGAGGGUGAUCGGCCACACUGGGACUGAGACACGGCCCAGACUCCUACGGGAGGCAGCAGUAGGGAAUCUUCGGCAAUGGACGGAAGUCUGACCGAGCAACGCCGCGUGAGUGAAGAAGGUUUUCGGAUCGUAAAGCUCUGUUGUAAGAGAAGAACGAGUGUGAGAGUGGAAAGUUCACACUGUGACGGUAGCUUACCAGAAAGGGACGGCUAACUACGUG